GGAUUGACACAUCGGUCGUGCCCUAAGGGGUAUGAACUGGUGUAGUCAAUUUCUCACCUUCUGGAGAACCGCGAUGCCCUUAAUUGGGUGUCACGGGGAACCAGGACCUUUACUUUGAAAAAAUUAGAGUGUUUAAAGCAGGCUCACGCUUGAAUACAUUAGCAUGGAAUAACGAAAUAG
Molecule: ribosomal RNA, 180 nt
Filed under: uncultured Glomeromycotina
Lineage: Eukaryota; Fungi; Glomeromycota
Description: partial small subunit ribosomal RNA
Source: RNAcentral